AACGGCCGCGGUAUCCUGACCGUGCAAAGGUAGCAUAAUAACUUGUCAUUUAAUUAAUGACUAGAAUGAAUGGCAAAACGAAAACUUAACUGUCUCUCUUAUUUAAUCAAUGAAACUGAUACUCUUGUACAAAAGCAAGAAUACUAAUACAAGACGAGAAGACCCUAUGGAGCUUUAAACCCAUUAUCAACUGUAAUAUUAACAAUAACAACUCGAUAGUUGUUUUAGGUUGGGGCGACCACGGAGCAUAAAAAUCCUCCGAGAAAAAUAACCUAAAUAACACAUUAAAGUACUAAAAAAUUUAAAUAAUUGACCCAAUAAAAUUGAUCAACGAACCAAGUUACCCUAGGGAUAACAGCGCAAUCUUCUCUAAGAGUCCUUAUCUACGAGAAGGUUUACGACCUCGAUGUUGGAUCAGGAUAUCCAAACAGU
RNAcentral lists this ribosomal RNA (432 nucleotides) under Boulengerula changamwensis (Changamwe lowland caecilian). Its description in RNAcentral is "partial large subunit ribosomal RNA". It matches the Rfam family "Bacterial large subunit ribosomal RNA", at positions 1926 to 2554 of the family's 2925-position model. The record is from RNAcentral. Lineage: Eukaryota; Metazoa; Chordata; Amphibia; Gymnophiona; Herpelidae.